GGUGUAUCGGUUAUGCUGCCAAGUGUACUGCCGAGUAGCCGCGUUCGGUCUGGAUAAGCGCUGAAAGCAUCUAAGCGCGAAGCCAUCCCCAAGAUAAGUCUUCCCUUGAGGGGCGUAGGAGACGACUACGUUGAUAGGCUGCAGGUGUAAAGACAGUAAUGUCAAAGCCGAGCAGUACUAAUUACCCGAACGGCUUUCUUAC
RNAcentral lists this ribosomal RNA (202 nucleotides) under Alistipes sp. 58_9_plus. RNAcentral describes it as "partial 23S ribosomal RNA". It matches the Rfam family "Bacterial large subunit ribosomal RNA", at positions 2711 to 2925 of the family's 2925-position model. The record is from RNAcentral. Lineage: Bacteria; Pseudomonadati; Bacteroidota; Bacteroidia; Bacteroidales; Rikenellaceae.